AGUGUGAUACCUGGGUCAUAUGAUGGUGCUAUUCCUAGUUUUUGAGGAAUCUCCAUACUACUUUCCAGAGUGGUUGGACUCAUUUGCAUUCCCACCAAUAAU
RNAcentral lists this microRNA precursor (102 nucleotides) under Marmota monax (woodchuck). The record is from RNAcentral. Lineage: Eukaryota; Metazoa; Chordata; Mammalia; Rodentia; Sciuridae.